This is a non-coding RNA of Acanthosepion pharaonis, 101 nucleotides long. The record is from the annotation of a GenBank genome assembly. NCBI's taxonomy places the organism in Eukaryota, Metazoa, Mollusca, Cephalopoda, Sepiida, Sepiidae.
ACAUUGAAGCAUCAGUUCCUAUACAAUCGCCAAAGUUAAGCAAUGUCGAGCCUGGUCUGUACCUAGAUGGGUGACCACUUGGGAAUACCAGGUGCUGUAAU